CCUACGGGGGGCAGCAGUGGGGAAUAUUGGACAAUGGGCGAAAGCCUGAUCCAGCCAUGCCGCGUGUGUGAAGAAGGCCUUCGGGUUGUAAAGCACUUUCAGUGGGGAAGAAAGCCUUGGGGCUAAUACCCUCGAGGAAGGACAUCACCCACAGAAGAAGCACCGGCUAACUCCGUGCCAGCAGCCGCGGUAAUACGGAGGGUGCGAGCGUUAAUCGGAAUUACUGGGCGUAAAGCGCGCGUAGGCGGUCUGAUAAGCCGGUUGUGAAAGCCCCGGGCUCAACCUGGGAACGGCAUCCGGAACGGUCAGGCUAGAGUGCAGGAGAGGAAGCUAGAAUCCGCGGUGUAGCGGUGAAAUGCGUAGAGAUCGGGAGGAAUACCAGUGGCGAAGGCGGCCUUCUGGACUGACACUGACGCUGAGGUGCGAAAGCGUGGGUAGCAAACAGGAUUAGAUACCCCAGUAGUC
This 465-nucleotide ribosomal RNA is filed under the name Vreelandella stevensii. RNAcentral describes it as "partial 16S ribosomal RNA". It matches the Rfam family "Bacterial small subunit ribosomal RNA", at positions 338 to 795 of the family's 1533-position model. The record is from RNAcentral. Lineage: Bacteria; Pseudomonadati; Pseudomonadota; Gammaproteobacteria; Oceanospirillales; Halomonadaceae.